CCUACGGGGGACAGCAGUGAGGAAUAUUGGUCAAUGGGCUUACGCCUGAACCAGCCAAGUCGCGUGAGGGAAGACUGCCCUAUGGGUUGUAAACCUCUUUUGUCAGGGAGCAAUGGGCGCUACGUGUAGCGUUAUCGAGAGUACCUGAAGAAAAAGGAUCGGCUAACUCCGUGCCAGCAGCCGCGGUAAUACGGAGGAUGCGAGAGUUAAUCGGAAUUACUGGGGGUAAAGCGCUCGUAGGCGGUAUGUCAAGUCAAGGGUGAAAUCCCCGCGCCAAACGUGGGAACUGCCUUUGAAACUGGCAAACUGGAGUGUGUGAGAGGAUAGUGGAAUUCCAGGUGUAGGAGUGAAAUCCGUAGAUAUCUGGAGGAACAUCAGUGGCGAAGGCGACUAUCUGGCACAUAACUGACGCUGAGGAGCGAAAGCGUGGGUAGCAAACAGGAUUAGAUACCCCUGUAGUC
This 461-nucleotide ribosomal RNA is filed under the name uncultured bacterium. RNAcentral describes it as "partial 16S ribosomal RNA". It matches the Rfam family "Bacterial small subunit ribosomal RNA", at positions 338 to 795 of the family's 1533-position model. The record is from RNAcentral.